GGGUGUGAUCAUUCUAGCACUAAUGCACCGGAUCCCAUCAGAACUCCGCAAUUAAUCGUGCUUGGACGAGAGUAGUACUAGGAUGGGUGACCUCCUGGGAAGUCCUCGUGUUGCACCCC
This is a ribosomal RNA of Corchorus capsularis, 119 nucleotides long. Lineage: Eukaryota; Viridiplantae; Streptophyta; Magnoliopsida; Malvales; Malvaceae. The record is from Rfam.